This 62-nucleotide transfer RNA is filed under the name Hyalella azteca. Its description in RNAcentral is "tRNA-Trp". The record is from RNAcentral. Lineage: Eukaryota; Metazoa; Arthropoda; Malacostraca; Amphipoda; Hyalellidae.
UAGACUUUAAGUUAUUUAAACUGUAAGCCUUCAAAGCUUGAAAAAUGUGUGAUUAAGUCUAA